GCGAAAACUUUACAAUGCUGGCAACAGCGAUAAGGGAACCUCGAGUGCCAGGUUACAAAUCUGGCUGUCGAGAUGCCUAAAAAGCAUUUCAUAGCAAGGGCCGGGCAAGACCGGUGCCAGCCGCCGCGGUAACACCGGCGGCUCGAGUGGUAACCGUUAUUAUUGGGUCUAAAGGGUCUGUAGCCGGCCGGAUAAGUCUCUUGAGAAAUCUGGCAGCUUAACUGUCAGGCUUUCAGGAGAUACUGUCUGGCUCGAGGCCGGGAGAGUUGAGAGGUACUUCAGGGGUAGGGGUGAAAUCUUGUAAUCCUUGAAGGACCACCAGUGGCGAAGGCGUCUCACCAGAACGGACCUGACGGCAAGUGACGAAAGCUAGGGGCGCGAACC
This 384-nucleotide ribosomal RNA is filed under the name uncultured prokaryote. RNAcentral describes it as "bacterial SSU rRNA". It matches the Rfam family "Archaeal small subunit ribosomal RNA", at positions 341 to 725 of the family's 1478-position model. The record is from RNAcentral.